AUACGUAGGUGACAAGCGUUAUCCGGAUUUACUGGGUGUAAAAGGCGUGUAGGCGGUUUAGCAAGUCAGAAGUGAAAUUCCCGGGCUUAACUUGGGCGCUGCUUCUGAAACUGCUUUAAUUGAGGGCUGGAGAGGAUAGUGGAAUUCCUAGUGUAGCGGUAAAAUGCGCAGAUAUUAGGAGGAAAACCGGUGGCGAAGGCGGCUAUCUGGACAGUAACUGACGCUGAGGCGCGAAAGCACGGGGAGCAAACAGGAUUAGAUACCCUGGUAGUCCGUGCCGUAAACGAUGAAUACUAGGUGUAGGGGGUAUCGACUCCCUCUGUGCCGCAGUUAACACAUUAAGUAUUCCACCUGGGGAGUACGGCCGCAAGGUUGAAACUCAAAUGAAUUGACGGGG
This 397-nucleotide ribosomal RNA is filed under the name uncultured bacterium. RNAcentral's name for it is "partial 16S ribosomal RNA". It matches the Rfam family "Bacterial small subunit ribosomal RNA", at positions 523 to 918 of the family's 1533-position model. The record is from RNAcentral.